RNAcentral lists this long non-coding RNA (126 nucleotides) under Suricata suricatta (meerkat). RNAcentral's name for it is "lncRNA (ENSSSUG00005003712.1)". Lineage: Eukaryota; Metazoa; Chordata; Mammalia; Carnivora; Herpestidae. The record is from RNAcentral.
ACUCAAUGUUCUGGGACAAGAAGAGGAAGCAGCAGAGAGAUGGCCUAGAGGAGAGGGACUUAUUUUUGCCAAGCGUGAUGAAGACACAUCCACCUUACCUCGGAGAUGGGAAUGCAGUACUAAGGA